RNAcentral lists this ribosomal RNA (468 nucleotides) under uncultured bacterium. Its description in RNAcentral is "partial 16S ribosomal RNA". It matches the Rfam family "Bacterial small subunit ribosomal RNA", at positions 28 to 507 of the family's 1533-position model. The record is from RNAcentral.
GACGAACGCUGGCGGCGUGCUUAACACAUGCAAGUCGAACGGAAAGGCCCUGCUUUUGUGGGGUGCUCGAGUGGCGAACGGGUGAGUAACACGUGAGUAACCUGCCCUUGACUUUGGGAUAACUUCAGGAAACUGGGGCAAUAACCGGUUGGAACCUCUUCCGCCUUGUGGGGGGUUGAAAAGUUUCGGCGGUUGGGGAUGGACUCGCGGCUUAUCAGCUUGUUGGUGGGGUAGUGGCUUACCAAGGCUUUGACGGGUAGCCGGCCUGAGAGGGUGACCGGCCACAUUGGGACUGAGAUACGGCCCAGACUCCUACGGGAGGCAGCAGUGGGGAAUAUUGCACAAUGGGCGGAAGCCUGAUGCAGCAACGCCGCGUGCGGGAUGACGGCCUUCGGGUUGUAAACCGCUUUCGCCUGUGACGAGGCGUGAGUGACGGUAAUGGGUAAAGAAGCACCGGCUAACUACGUG